This 367-nucleotide ribosomal RNA is filed under the name uncultured bacterium. Its description in RNAcentral is "bacterial SSU rRNA". It matches the Rfam family "Bacterial small subunit ribosomal RNA", at positions 335 to 695 of the family's 1533-position model. The record is from RNAcentral.
ACUCCUACGGGAGGCAGCAGUGGGAAUAUUGGACAAUGGGGGCACCCUGAUCCAGCAAUACCGCGUGUGUGAAGAAGGCCUUCGGGUUGUAAAGCACUUUCAGUUGGGAGGAAGGCUGAUUAUCGAAUAGGUAGUCAGAUUGACGUUACCAACAGAAGAAGCACCGGCUAACUCUGUGCCAGCAGCCGCGGUAAUACAGAGGGUGCAAGCGUUAAUCGGAAUUACUGGGCGUAAAGGGCGCGUAGGUUGUUUGUUAAGUUAGAUGUGAAAUAUCCGGGCUCAACCUGGACAUGUCAUCUAAAAACUGGCAGACUAGAGUGCAGUAGAGGAAGUGGAAUUUCCGGUGUAGCGGUGAAAAUGCGUAGAU